AACGCUGGCGGCGUGCGUAAUACAUGCAAGUCGAGCGGUCGACGGCUCUUCGGAGGCGUCGGCAGCGGCGGACGGGUGAGGAACACGUGAGUAACCGGGCGUCCGGUGGGGGAUAUCGGGCCGAAAGGCGCGGCAAUCCCGCAUGCGCCCCGGGCGGCGCCAGCCGCCGGGGGGAAAGGCCUUCGGGUCGCCGGACGGGGGGCUCGCGGCCCAUUAGCUAGUUGGGGUCGGAGCUGAGUCCGGCUAGUACAUGGGUAGCUCCCAUGCGCAUGUACGCUGAGGGUAUCGCACUGAUUAAACCGCCAGAUCCUACGAGCAGCAGUAGAUCUCCAAUGUGCAAGCUGAUGAGCACGCCGCUGAAGGAGACCGCUCCGGUGUAAAGCUCGUUCGUCGACGAGACGCGCUGUAGGCGCGGGGGGACGUACGCGAGAGCCCUGCAAACUACGUGCAGCAGCGCGGUAAGACGUAGGGGCAAGCGUGUCGGAAUUACUGGGCGUAAAGGGCGUGUAGGCGGUUGCGCACGUAGCGGUUUCAGCCGUCGGCUCACCCGACGGAGGGCGGCUAAACGGCGCAGCUCGAGGGCAGGAGAGGUGCAUGGAAUUCCUGGUGGAGCGGUGAAAUGCGUAGAGAUCAGGAAGAACACCGGUGGCGAAGGCGGUGCACUGGCCUGGCCCUGACGCUGAGGCGCGACAGCGUGGGGAGCGAACGGGAUUAGAUACCCCGGUAGUCCACGCCGUAAACGAUGGAUACGAGGUGUCGCGGGGGUCCACCUCGCGGUGCCGGAGCUAACGCACUCAGUAUCCCGCCUGGGGAGUACGGCCGCAAGGUUGAAACUCAAAGGAAUUGACGGGGGCCCGCACAAGCAGUGGAGCAUGUGGUUUAAUUCGACGCAACGCGCAGAACCUUACCAGGGCUAGACGGGACCGUGAGCCGCGCGAAAGCGCGGGGCUGCUUCGGCAGAGCGGUCGUCAGGUGCUGCAUGGUUGUCGUCAGCUCGUGUCGUGAGAUGUUGGGUUAAGUCCCGCAACGAGCGCAACCCUCGUCGGCUGUUGCCAGCGAUUCGGUCGGGCACUCAGCCGAGACAGCCGGGGACGACCCGGAGGAAGGUGGGGAUGACGUCAAAUCCGCAUGGCCUUCAUGUCCUGGGCUACACACGUGCUACAAUGGCGCCGACAACGGGCCGCGACCUCGCGAGGGGGAGCGAAUCCUUCAAACGGCGUCUCAGUUCGGAUUGCAGGCUGCAACUCGCCUGCAUGAAGCCGGAAUUGCUAGUAAUCGCGGAUCAGCAUGCCGCGGUGAAUCCGUUCCCGGGCCUUGUACACACCGCCCGUCACACCACGAGAGUCGGCCACACCCGAAGCCGGUCGGUCGAACCCCGUCAGGGGACGACCCCGUCGACGGUGGGGCGGAUGAUUGGGGUGAAGUCGUAACAAGGUAGCCGUAUCGGAAGGUGCGGUUGGA
Molecule: ribosomal RNA, 1461 nt
Filed under: Sulfobacillus acidophilus
Lineage: Bacteria; Bacillati; Bacillota; Clostridia; Eubacteriales; Clostridiales Family XVII. Incertae Sedis
Description: partial 16S ribosomal RNA
Rfam family: Bacterial small subunit ribosomal RNA
Source: RNAcentral